AACCAACUGAUGAAAUCAACCCGACAUGCAUCUGCAAAAAAAAACACCCACCGGCCCACCUCUCCCACUCCUCCCUAAAUCCCCUCCCAUCCACCUUCUUCCUCCCACGCCUCACCUACCCACCACCGAUGGUGCUCCGCCCAAUCGCCCCACCUUCAUCGUUAGGCCCCUCCCCGCCCGAGAGUGCCUAUCUAGACAGAGCACCCCGGCCCGCCCCGCCCCGCGCCGGCCGGGGAUCCACUACACCGCGCCACCAUCGAAGGCCCCAGAUCCACACCGCCACACUUCCAUUGGCCUCCCACCACCGCUUCGGUGACGGAGCCAUCCCGCUGCCUUCCCGUCUCGAGCUCCUCCCCACCUUCCCCUCCACCUCACCUCCCCGUCCUGAGCUCCAAGAUGACUAGAUCGAUGCCGGCCCACCGCCCAACAACCACCACCUCUGGUCCCUGAUCGGCCAUGGCAACCUCACUCCUACUCCUACUCAUGAGUGCCUCCAAUCCCCGAUCCGUCCUGCCCCCACACCAGACGCCUCCCCUCUACUAGAUCCAGGUGGAUCCGGCUCGCGCUGCGCCGCCCAAUUGACUGGCAUCGGGUCGGGCCCUAUGUCGCCGGGGGCUGCUGCGACGUGUAGAUCGAUAGUGUCUGGUUGCAGUUCAGUGGCAACCCACACAUCCCACUUCUCACCCAUCGCCGAUCCAUGGCGUCCCCAGCAAUCCCACCACCGCCCUGGCCCGAAUCCACUUCGCCAGCAACCCACUCAUCCACCGGAUCCAGUCGGGCUUCUCCUUCCUCUGAGCCGAGCACCCAUGGGCAGAGGACCCGCACAAGCUCCUCUCACAAAACAACGACCUCCAUGGGCUUGGAACCACCACCCCUCUCUUCCUACAGAACAUGUAGCUCGCCGACAUGUGAGCGUGCAGGUCCUAUCCCCCUUCCCUUCGAGUGAGCAGAGCAUGCAGUGAAGGCGAGCAUGGCACGCAGUGUAGGUCACCCUGCACGCAGGCACCCUCAACUGCAGCUCUCUUCCCACUCCUUGGUGUCAUAAUAUCAUCCGCGGUGGUCCGCUUGCCAACAGAGAAAAAAAAUCAAAUUUGGGAGUUCAGUUUGUUUUAUAAUAAUGUCCUAGGAAAAGGGAUGAUGCAGUUCGNUAAGACCCCACUAAGAGCAACCCCAAUGGGGCGACCCAUUUCCUCCGCCGCCGUCCGUUUGGGCCGGCGCGGACACAAAAGGCGGACCAACGCGUCGACCCAAACGGACGCGCGUCCGAUUUUCAUCCGCGGGCGACCCAUUCUUGACCCAUUUUUGAGCCGGAAUUGCGUCCACGCGGACACGCGACGGACGCACGCACGCUCGCCUUCUCCUCCCCCGGGCCCGCUGGUCGGUGGCACACUGGCCUCCCCCCAUCCAACCCUCGCCCUCCUCCUUCCUCGCCAACGCCGCCGCCCAUUUUUGUCGGCGACUCUGCUAGUUGUCAGCGCCUCCACAUCCGCCCAGCAACGCCGCCCACUCCCACGUCGCCCGCCGUCGUUGUCUUGCCGAUGGGGACCGACUACUUCCCACACCCACGCCCCUCCACCACACAGCCCGCCCCGACAAAGAAGUCGCCUCGUCGCCCAGCUAGAUCCUCACCGGCACACUCGUCGGACACCGGCCCACUCGUCGGACGCCGGCAGGGCAGCUAGCUGGUCCGUGCACGCCGCGACUCCCUUCGCCGGCCGUCUCCUUCGUCGACGCCCGCAAGCUAUUCGACAGUUUGCCAAGGUACAAAAUGGACUCCGUCGAGGAGUUCUUUUUUCACAAUUUCCUUUGCGACUCUGACGAUUCGUCGUCCAAUGACGAGGAGGAGAUAUUGGUUGCCGUGUUGGUCCAGCACCACCUCAACAGUGAGCGGCCGUUGUUCCGUGGCUCCAUUCCGGGCCACCUUUCGGCAUUGAAUCGCAACCGAGAGAGCGGACAUUUCUUUCUUUGGAAGGACUACUUUGAUACAACAAACCCGUUGUUCAAACAUCAAAAAUUCCGUCGCCGUUUCCGUAUGAGUAGGCAUCUUUUCAACCGUAUUAGAGAGGGGCUGGUCAGCUAUGAUGACUAUUUCGAGUGCAAAGAGGAUGUCGUUGGCAAGAUAUUUUUUUCCUCUUAUCAGAAAUGCACUGCCGCCAUCUGAAUGCUUGCAUACGGAGUGCCCGGUGAUCUCAUUGACGAGAACGUCCGUAUGAGCGAGUCUACUUGCCUAGAGUCCCUGUAUAAGUUCUGCAAGGCUGUUAUUGUUGUGUUUGGCCCUGAGUACUUGAGAGAGCCGAUUGUUGAAGAUACAACCCAUUUGUUGGCGAUGAAUGUGAGCAAGGGCUUCCCAGGGAUGCUUGGUAGCAUAGACUGCAUGCACUGGGAGUGGAAGAACUGCCCUUCUGCUUAGCAAGGGCAGUAUAUGGGCCAUAUCAGUGCUUGCACUGUCAUACUAGAGGUCGUGUCGUCUGAAGAUCUCUGGAUCUGGCACUCUUUCUUUGGCAUGGUCGGAUCACACAAUGAUAUCAACGUGCUUCAGCGCUCGCCAGUGUUUGCUAGGCUUGCCGAAGGCAACAGUCCACCGGUGAACUUUAUUGUCAACGGCCACAAUUACAACAAAGGAUACUACUUGGGUGACGGUAUCUAUCCUCAGUGGACCACUAUUGUCAAGACAAUACCCAACCCUGUCGGAGAGAAGAGGAAAAGAUUUUCCCAAGAGCAAGAGAGUGCUAGGAAGGAUGUUGAGCGUGCCUUUGGUGUUUUGCAAUCUUGAUGGGGCACCAUUCGGUAUCCUGCUAAUACCUGGAGCACGUAAAAACUGUGGGAGGUGAUGACUACUUGUGUGAUCAUGCAUAAUAUGAUCAUAGAAGACGAGCGCCCGGAACGUCUGUACGAUCAAGGGUUUCAGUUUCAGGGUGAGAAUGUUGUGUCUGAGCAUGGAGGAGCGGCAACGUUUGAACAGUUCACCCAAUUUCAUCAAGACAUUUGUGAUUGGGAAACUCAAGUGCAACUGCAAAAUGAUUUGGUUGAGCAUAUGUGGGCUCAUGUUGGCAACCAAUAGAUUUAUCUUCUUUUAUUCGUUUGCAAAAAUAUGUGAGAACUAUGUUAUUUCUAUUCGGCUUGUAAUAACUAUGCUAUUUUAUCCGGUUCAAAUUAUGUUAUUUGAUUCAAACUAUGUAAAUUCAUGCAAAAUAGGGCGGCCACGCCGGCACAUAUGAGUCGACACAUUGGGCGCGCUGUCGGCACAUAUCUAAAACAAGACGGACGCUGAGAGAGCGACCGACCCAAACGAACAAAAAACGGACAAAAUCGUCGUUCAUUUUGGUCGACCCAUUGGGGUUGCUCUAACCAACUGAUGAAAUCAACCCGACAUGCAUCUGCAAAAAAAAACACCCACCGGCCCACCUCUCCCACUCCUCCCUAAAUCCCCUCCCAUCCACCUUCUUCCUCCCACGCCUCACCUACCCACCACCGAUGGUGCUCCGCCCAAUCGCCCCACCUUCAUCGUUAGGCCCCUCCCCGCCCGAGAGUGCCUAUCUAGACAGAGCACCCCGGCCCGCCCCGCCCCGCGCCGGCCGGGGAUCCACUACACCGCGCCACCAUCGAAGGCCCCAGAUCCACACCGCCACACUUCCAUUGGCCUCCCACCACCGCUUCGGUGACGGAGCCAUCCCGCUGCCUUCCCGUCUCGAGCUCCUCCCCACCUUCCCCUCCACCUCACCUCCCCGUCCUGAGCUCCAAGAUGACUAGAUCGAUGCCGGCCCACCGCCCAACAACCACCACCUCUGGUCCCUGAUCGGCCAUGGCAACCUCACUCCUACUCCUACUCAUGAGUGCCUCCAAUCCCCGAUCCGUCCUGCCCCCACACCAGACGCCUCCCCUCUACUAGAUCCAGGUGGAUCCGGCUCGCGCUGCGCCGCCCAAUUGACUGGCAUCGGGUCGGGCCCUAUGUCGCCGGGGGCUGCUGCGACGUGUAGAUCGAUAGUGUCUGGUUGCAGUUCAGUGGCAACCCACACAUCCCACUUCUCACCCAUCGCCGAUCCAUGGCGUCCCCAGCAAUCCCACCACCGCCCUGGCCCGAAUCCACUUCGCCAGCAACCCACUCAUCCACCGGAUCCAGUCGGGCUUCUCCUUCCUCUGAGCCGAGCACCCAUGGGCAGAGGACCCGCACAAGCUCCUCUCACAAAACAACGACCUCCAUGGGCUUGGAACCACCACCCCUCUCUUCCUACAGAACAUGUAGCUCGCCGACAUGUGAGCGUGCAGGUCCUAUCCCCCUUCCCUUCGAGUGAGCAGAGCAUGCAGUGAAGGCGAGCAUGGCACGCAGUGUAGGUCACCCUGCACGCAGGCACCCUCAACUGCAGCUCUCUUCCCACUCCUUGGUGUCAUAAUAUCAUCCGCGGUGGUCCGCUUGCCAACAGAGAAAAAAAAUCAAAUUUGGGAGUUCAGUUUGUUUUAUAAUAAUGUCCUAGGAAAAGGGAUGAUGCAGUUCGCUAGCCGAUGGCAUGUGGUUCACGAUUGUAUUUUAUUUUUGUGGUUGUUUUCUACAUAAAUGUUGAGUACAUGAUGAAGCUCACAUUAAAAAUCUUUGUGGUUCAUCUUGUAAAAACAUAAAAACUGUGAUGUACACUAGCCUUGAGUGUGUCUUCAUUUCGAAAGCAGUGCAUUGUUAUGUCCAAUGCAAUUUUUUCAUUGAUUUCGGUCUCACGGAAAACAGAGUGUGCGCAUUUUAGCAAAAUCAAAACUGCUCACAAACCGUAAGGAACUAGAGAGAGUGUUCUACAUGGAAGAAUGUGCCUCGUUGAUAUCUUUGCAACGCCGUAUCAUUUACUUUGUUUCGACGAGCGGUUGAAAAAAUUACGAAAAUACGCUCGCUGCAACUCGUAAGUAGCCACGAUGUUUUCAAAAUUUAUUUUAAACUGUGAGAAAUCUCAACAAAUGAUCAAUGUAUGAAAGGUGAGCCUAUUCCGCAGAUUUUCAACGCUCUAUCAUACGCCUCGUUCCGACGAGCAGUUUAAAAACUACAGCGAAAACAGUCC
This 5039-nucleotide long non-coding RNA is filed under the name Hordeum vulgare. RNAcentral describes it as "long non-coding RNA (HVUL_LNC012898)". Lineage: Eukaryota; Viridiplantae; Streptophyta; Magnoliopsida; Poales; Poaceae. The record is from RNAcentral.